This 752-nucleotide ribosomal RNA is filed under the name uncultured bacterium. Its description in RNAcentral is "bacterial SSU rRNA". It matches the Rfam family "Bacterial small subunit ribosomal RNA", at positions 8 to 796 of the family's 1533-position model. The record is from RNAcentral.
AGAGUUUGAUCCUGGCUCAGAACGAACGCUGGCGGCAUGCCUAACACAUGCAAGUCGAACGAGGGCCCCGCUUCGGUGGGACCCUAGUGGCGCACGGGUGAGUAACGCGUGGGAACCUGCCCUGUGGUACGGAAUAACUCCGGGAAACUGGAGCUAAUACCGUAUGCGUCCUGCGGGACAAAGAUUUAUCGCCAUGGGAUGGGCCCGCGUAGGAUUAGCUUGUUGGUGGGGUAACGGCCUACCAAGGCUUCGAUCCUUAGCUGGUCUGAGAGGAUGAUCAGCCACACUGGGACUGAGACACGGCCCAGACUCCUACGGGAGGCAGCAGUGGGGAAUAUUGGACAAUGGGCGCAAGCCUGAUCCAGCAAUGCCGCGUGAGUGAUGAAGGCCUUCGGGUUGUAAAGCUCUUUCGCACGCGACGAUGAUGACGGUAGCGUGAGAAGAAGCCCCGGCUAACUUCGUGCCAGCAGCCGCGGUAAUACGAAGGGGGCUAGCGUUGUUCGGAAUUACUGGGCGUAAAGGGCGCGUAGGCGGUACUUCAAGUCAGGCGUGAAAGCCCCGGGCUCAACCUGGGAACCGCGCUUGAGACUGGAGAACUAGAGUUCGGGAGAGGAUGGUGGAAUUCCCAGUGUAGAGGUGAAAUUCGUAGAUAUUGGGAAGAACACCGAUGGCGAAGGCAGCCAUCUGGACCGACACUGACGCUGAGGCGCGAAAGCGUGGGGAGCAAACAGGAUUAGAUACCCUAGUAGUCC